ACUCGGUGUGCACCUGCCCUUCCGUCCCUUUUGUCGACGGCGUGCUCCUGGCCUUAAUUGGCUGGGUCGCGGCUCCCGCGCUGUUACUUUGAAAAAAUUAGAGUGCUCAAAGCAAGCUUAUGCUCUGAAUACAUUAGCAUGGAAUAACGUGAUAGGAGUCUGGUCCUAUUGUGUUGGCCUUCGGGACCGGAGUAAUGAUUAAUAGGGACUGUCGGGGCAUUCGUAUUUCAUUGUCAGAGGUGAAAUUCUUGGAUUUAUGAAAGACGGACCACUGCGAAAGCAUUUGCCAAGGAUGUUUUCAUUAAUCAAGAACGAAAGUUGGGGGCUCGAAGACGAUCAGAUACCGUCCUAGUCUCAACCAUAAACGAUGCCGACCAGGGAUUGGCGGAUGUUGCUCUAAGGACUCCGCCAGCACCUUCUGAGAAAUCAGAGUGUUUGGGUUCCGGGGGGAGUAUGGUCGCAAGGCUGAAACUUAAAGGAAUUGACGGAAGGGCCCCACCAGGAGUGGAGCCUGCGGCUUAAUUUGACUCAACACGGGGAAACUUACCAGGUCCAGACAUAGUAAGGAUUGACAGAUUGAGAGCUCUUUCUUGAUUCUAUGGGUGGUGGUGCAUGGCCAUUCUUAGUUGGUGGAGCGAUUUGUCUGGUUAAUUCACAUAACGAACGAGACCUCAACCUGCUAACUAGCUACGCGGAGGUUCCCCUUCGCGGCCAACUUCUUAGAGGGACUAUGGCCAUUUAGGCCAUGGACGUUUGAGGCAAUAACAGGCCUGUGAUGCCCUUAGAUGUUCUGGGCCGCAUGCGCGCUACACUGAUGCAGCCAAUGAGCUUUUCUUCCUGGUUCGAGAGGAUCAGGAAAUCUUCUCAAAUUGCAUCAUGAUGGGGAUAGACCAUUGCAAUUAUUGGUCUUCAACGAGGAAUUCCUCGUAAGCACGUGUCAUCAACUCGCGUUGACUACGUCCCUGCCCUUUGUACACACCGCCCGUCGCUCCUACCGAUUGAAUGAUAUGGUGAAGUGUUCAGAUUGCGUCAAUGAUGGUGGUUCGCCGCCAUCGACGUCGUGAGAAGUUCAUUGAACCUUAUCAUUUAGAGGAAGGAGAAGCCGUAACAAGGUUACCGUAGGUGAACCUGCGGUAG
This 1137-nucleotide ribosomal RNA is filed under the name Pinus taeda (loblolly pine). RNAcentral's name for it is "SSU rRNA". It matches the Rfam family "Eukaryotic small subunit ribosomal RNA", at positions 666 to 1823 of the family's 1831-position model. The record is from RNAcentral. Lineage: Eukaryota; Viridiplantae; Streptophyta; Pinopsida; Pinales; Pinaceae.